RNAcentral lists this ribosomal RNA (515 nucleotides) under uncultured bacterium. RNAcentral's name for it is "bacterial SSU rRNA". It matches the Rfam family "Bacterial small subunit ribosomal RNA", at positions 33 to 518 of the family's 1533-position model. The record is from RNAcentral.
ACGCUGGCGGCGUGCCUAAUACAUGCAAGUCGAACGGUCUUUUCUAUGGAAGCUUGCUUCCACUGAGAAGAUAGUGGCGAACGGGUGAGUAACACGUGGGUAACCUGCCCAUAAGAGGGGGGAUAACAUCCGGAAACGGGUGCUAAUACCGCAUAGUUUUUCUUGAUCGCAUGAUCGGGAAAGGAAAGACGGCCUUUGUGCUGUCGCUUAUGGAUGGACCCGCGGCGUAUUAGUUAGUUGGUGAGGUAACGGCUCACCAAGACGAUGAUACGUAGCCGACCUGAGAGGGUGAUCGGCCACAUUGGGACUGAGACACGGCCCAAACUCCUACGGGAGGCAGCAGUAGGGAAUCUUCCGCAAUGGACGAAAGUCUGACGGAGCAACGCCGCGUGAGUGAAAGAAGGUUUUCGGAUCGUAAAACUCUGUUGUCAGAGAAGAACAAGUUGGAGAGUAACUGCUCCAGCCUUGACGGUAUCUGACCAGAAAGCCACGGCUAACUACGUGCCAGCCGCCGC